AGAGCGGGCCGGGCGGCCGCCCGGGGCAUGAUCUCCGGGAGGAAAGUCCGAACUGGCCAGGGCACGGUGAUGGCUAACGGCCACCGGCAGCAAUGCCAGGGAAAGUGCCACAGAAAAGACACCGCCGCCCGCGGGAAGGGUUUCGGCCCGACCGCGGAGGCAAGGGUGAAAAGGUGCGGUAAGAGCGCACCGCGCGUCCGGUGACGGGCGCGGCAGGGUAAACCCCACUGCCAGCAAGCCCGCGUAGGCAACGAAGAGGCGACGGCGCACCCGGAUUCACUGGGAUCCCAGGCGCCGCCACGCUUCGCGAGGCGGCCCGUCUCGCGCGUCCGCGCCGCAGGUCGGCCGGGCGCAUCGUUGCGGGUAGGGUGCAGGAGCCGGCGGGUAACCGCCGGCCUAGAGAAAUGGUCGCCGCCCGCGCGCGAGCGUGGGAACAGAAUUCGGCUUAUGGCCCGCUCUGCCG
RNAcentral lists this RNase P RNA (463 nucleotides) under Planctomycetota bacterium. RNAcentral's name for it is "Planctomycetes bacterium RNase P RNA component class A". It matches the Rfam family "Bacterial RNase P class A". Rfam says of the family: Ribonuclease P (RNase P) is a ubiquitous endoribonuclease, found in archaea, bacteria and eukarya as well as chloroplasts and mitochondria. The record is from RNAcentral. Lineage: Bacteria; Pseudomonadati; Planctomycetota.